Molecule: long non-coding RNA, 1066 nt
Filed under: Vulpes vulpes (red fox)
Lineage: Eukaryota; Metazoa; Chordata; Mammalia; Carnivora; Canidae
Description: lncRNA (ENSVVUG00000029122.1)
Source: RNAcentral
CACUGUCUUUAAGAAGCAAGCUGCUGUAUUAUGACAGGGUCAUUGCUAGGAUAUUAGGGUACCUUCUAGGAGCUGAGAGUGACCCAUGCAACAGCCAGCAAGAAAGUGGGGAGUCAGCCUUACCCAAGGAACUGAGUUCUAUCAACACCCUAAAUGGGUUUGGAAAUAGAUUCUUCCACAAUCGAGCCUUCUGAUGAGUUCAUAGCCCCCACUGACACCUUAAUUUCAGCCUGUUGAGAUCCUGAUCAGAGAGCCCAGUUAUGUUGUGCCCAGACUUCUGACCUACAGCAACUGUAAGGGAGGGUGGGGUUGUGUUAACCCACUAAGUUUGUGAUCAUUGGUUGGGCAGCAAUAGAAAGCUAGAUGGGCAGCACAACUUUAGACUCUAGAUCUGACGAUAUUUGUUCUGGGGAGCCCAUGAGAAAGGUUGCUACUGGACUAUGAGUACAGAUCAUCAGAGUUCAAAGGGCAUUAUGGAGAUCCCAUGUUGAAUCCCAUUUCAAGUUUCUUCUCUUGUCAGAUCCAAUAACGUCCCAUUGGCCAAGCAAAUCUCAUGGUCAAGCCCAAGAUCAAGGGACUGGGAAGUCCGUUCCACUCACCCUGAAGCCUGAAAAGUCUAGAUAUCUAUUACCGGGGAGUUAAGAAUUAGGAUCCAUUACUUGGGAAAUUUAGUACACAUGCACAAAAUCCCUCUGGCUGGUUUUACCUCCUCCACGUCCAUCAGUACACAGCUGAGCAUAAGCAGUUACCUCCAUCAUACAUUUGAAGCUCAUGAAGCCCCCCUUGCCAGCGCUGCAAAUUGGUCCAUGGAGAGCAGCACUGCAAAUUGGUCCAUGAAGAGCAGACCUCCAAGAAAGGAAAGUGGGAACUGGGAGAAGUCAGGGGAUGCUUAUUAACAUGAGAGAGAGAUGCCUGGAGUUUCCUAGCAGCCAAUGGAAAAUAGGAAAACCAAUGAGUUACACAAGUACUGAUGUCAAUGAGAAAAUAAGAAACUUGCUAAAGGAUAGUUCUCCCUGGUAUCUUCCUAAACAGGACAGUGUGAUGUCAAAAAUAAGAACUCAGGAAU